This 585-nucleotide ribosomal RNA is filed under the name uncultured bacterium. RNAcentral describes it as "partial 16S ribosomal RNA". It matches the Rfam family "Bacterial small subunit ribosomal RNA", at positions 355 to 1375 of the family's 1533-position model. The record is from RNAcentral.
UGGGGAAUUUUGGACAAUGGGCGAAAGCCUGAUCCAGCAAUGCCGCGUGUGUGAAGAAGGCCUUCGGGUUGUAAAGCACUUUUGUCCGGAAAGAAAUCCUUGGCUCUAAUACAGUCGGGGGAUGACGGUACCGGAAGAAUAAGCACCGGCUAACUACGUGCCAGCAGCCGCGGUAAUACGUAGGGUGCAAGCGUUAAUCGGAAUUACUGGGCGUAAAGCGUGCGCAGGCGGUUUGCUAAGACCGAUGUGAAAUCCCCGGGCUCAACCUGGGAACUGCAUUAGUGACUGGCAGGCUAGAGUAUGGCAGAGGGGGGUAGAAUUCCACGUGUAGCAGUGAAAUGCGUAGAGAUGUGGAGGAAUACCGAUGGCGAAGGCAGCCCCCUGGGCCAAUACUGACGCUCAUGCACGAAAGCGUGGGGAGCAAACAGGAUUAGAUACCCUGGUAGUCCACGCCCUAAACGAUGUCAACUAGUUGUUGGGGAUUCAUUUCCUUAGUAACGUAGCUAACGCGUGAAGUUGACCGCCUGGGGAGUACGGUCGCAAGAUUAAAACUUAAAGGAAUUGACGGGGUCAUAGCUGUUUCCU